RNAcentral lists this transfer RNA (72 nucleotides) under Streptomyces phage Percastrophe. RNAcentral's name for it is "tRNA-Met". It matches the Rfam family "tRNA". From Rfam's summary of the family: Transfer RNA (tRNA) molecules are approximately 80 nucleotides in length. Their secondary structure includes four short double-helical elements and three loops (D, anti-codon, and T loops). Lineage: Duplodnaviria; Heunggongvirae; Uroviricota; Caudoviricetes. The record is from RNAcentral.
UGCUGGAUGGUGUAACGGUAACACGCUGGCCUCAUAAGCCAGAAGCUCAGGGUUCGAUUCCCUGUCCAGCCA